CAGUUUUUAAUUUUGUAAUUUUACGAAAUAUAACAUACUUCUAAAAACACGAACGUCAAUAUGAGGAUUAUUAAAAAAAAAAAAAAAAAAACCCGUAUCUAUCUGAUAAGCCGCUGAUUGUGACCGUUACAUCUUUGGUCUCCACAGAAGAAGGGCUUAAGUCCAUUGUUGGCAAAUUUUUUUUAAAAUUAUUUUAUUUUAUGCAUUUUUAUGCCCUUGUUUGUCUGAAUGGUGUAUGUGUUCUAACAUUUAUUUCGCUUGGAUUGAAAACUAUACAAAUCGGCUUUAGCCUUUCUUCCUGGCACC
Molecule: non-coding RNA, 306 nt
Organism: Cinara cedri
Lineage: Eukaryota; Metazoa; Arthropoda; Insecta; Hemiptera; Aphididae
Source: the annotation of a GenBank genome assembly